AAUAUCUAAACGGGGAAAUUNAAUAUUGUCGUUAAAUNNCAAUGUGCACUUUUCCCUUAGUAAGACGCUGUGAUCCAUUAGAAAUUGAUCAUACAAAUGAUUAGUGGGCUAUCAAUAGGCCGAUAUGAAGUUCAUUGGUGCAAAUAACAGAAUCUUUAAUGGCACUGUAUAUUGCCCGUUGAGCAUAUCGUGUUCUGCUAUAGCUGUCUGAUGGAUUUUAAAGAUCAUAAUACCAAUGUUUUUAUGCAUUGCCCAUUUCGAUGGGAGUGAUUAUGUAUCCGAUCAACAGCGGUUAAAUUUGGGAUACCUUUUGGACCCGUCUUGAAACACGGACCAAGGAGUCUAUCUAGUAUGCAAGUAAAUGAGUAAAUUUAAAACUUAUUUGCAUAAAAAACUUAACUGUUAUGGGAUUACGAGUCAAUGUUAACAAUUGGCUCCUCCAUCCCGGGGUAUUUUCAUCAACAUAUACAGCAAUGUAUAUGGAAAAUAUACCAUGAGCAUACUGGAUAUGACCCGAAAGAUGGUGAACUAUGCCUGAUCAGGUUGAAGUCAGGGGAAACCCUGAUGGAGGACCGAAGCAGUUCUGACGUGCAAAUCGAUUGUCAGAAUUGGGCAUAGGGGCGAAAGACCAAUCGAACCAUCUAGUAGCU
RNAcentral lists this ribosomal RNA (650 nucleotides) under Eurycnemus nozakii. Its description in RNAcentral is "eukaryotic LSU rRNA". It matches the Rfam family "Eukaryotic large subunit ribosomal RNA", at positions 433 to 952 of the family's 3401-position model. The record is from RNAcentral. Lineage: Eukaryota; Metazoa; Arthropoda; Insecta; Diptera; Chironomidae.